This 807-nucleotide ribosomal RNA is filed under the name Triticum aestivum (bread wheat). RNAcentral describes it as "partial small subunit ribosomal RNA". Lineage: Eukaryota; Viridiplantae; Streptophyta; Magnoliopsida; Poales; Poaceae. The record is from RNAcentral.
AGCAAUUUCACUAAUCAAUUUCUUGCCACUUUGUCUGGGGGGGUAGAUUUUGAUUGGCAUUGCCUCCCACCUCGGGGAAGAUCCGGCGGGGUUUUACUUGGGGUUAAGUGUGAAACGUUGGAGGUUCGGAGCGUAGUUAUGGGCGAGUUCGCUGUCAAGUUUCGGGUUAGAUCUAAGGCAGAUGGGUUUGAUUGGGCUUUGGUGGCAGUUUACGGAGCUGCACAACCAGAACUCAAACCAGAUUUCUUGGCAGAUUUGGUGCGCAUCUGUGGUAAUGAACAGUUACCUCUCUUAGUGGGAGGGGAUUUCAACAUUAUCCGAAGAAAAGAGGACAAGAAUAAUGCCAAUUUUGACGGUCGAUGGCCCUUUAUGUUCAACACUAUCAUUGAAAGUUUGGAUCUCAGAGAGAUCGAGCUCUCGGGUAGGAAAUUCACUUGGGCUAAUUCGUUACCGGUCCCGACCUUUGAGAAACUUGACCAUGUGCUAGCUAGUGUCGAGUGGGAACAGAAGUUUCCCCUGGUAACGGUGCAGGCUUUGACUCGAGGUGUCUCGGAUCAUACACCGCUACUAGUCGACUCCGGAGUUCAAAAUUUCGUGGGAAACAAGAACAUUUUCUCGUUUGAACUUGCCUGGUUUGAAAGAGAAGGGUUCCUUGAGUUGCUAGCUAGAGAGUGGGCUAUGGACUCGGGAGGUAGGACGCCUAUCGACAGAUGGCAAUCCAAGAUUCGUCAUCUCCGUCGAUUCCUUCGUGGCUGGGCUAAGCACACGCAUGGGAUUUAUAAGGUGGAGAAGGACAGACUUCUUCUA